This 496-nucleotide ribosomal RNA is filed under the name uncultured bacterium. Its description in RNAcentral is "partial 16S ribosomal RNA". It matches the Rfam family "Bacterial small subunit ribosomal RNA", at positions 28 to 507 of the family's 1533-position model. The record is from RNAcentral.
GAUGAACGCUGGCGGCGUGCCUAAUACAUGCAAGUCGAGCGAACGGACGAGAAGCUUGCUUCUCUGAUGUUAGCGGCGGACGGGUGAGUAACACGUGGAUAACCUACCUAUAAGACUGGGAUAACUUCGGGAAACCGGAGCUAAUACCGGAUAAUAUUUUGAACCGCAUGGUUCAAAAGUGAAAGACGGUCUUGCUGUCACUUAUAGAUGGAUCCGCGCUGCAUUAGCUAGUUGGUAAGGUAACGGCUCCCAAGGCAACGAUGCAUAGCCGACCUGAGAGGGUGAUCGGCCACACUGGAACUGAGACACGGUCCAGACUCCUACGGGAGGCAGCAGUAGGGAAUCUUCCGCAAUGGGCGAAAGCCUGACGGAGCAACGCCGCGUGAGUGAUGAAGGUCUUCGGAUCGUAAAACUCUGUUAUUAGGGAAGAACAUAUGUGUAAGUAACUGUGCACAUCUUGACGGUACCUAAUCAGAAAGCCACGGCUAACUACGUG